Molecule: ribosomal RNA, 1529 nt
Filed under: Klebsiella pneumoniae
Lineage: Bacteria; Pseudomonadati; Pseudomonadota; Gammaproteobacteria; Enterobacterales; Enterobacteriaceae
Description: bacterial SSU rRNA
Rfam family: Bacterial small subunit ribosomal RNA
Source: RNAcentral
AGAGUUUGAUCAUGGCUCAGAUUGAACGCUGGCGGCAGGCCUAACACAUGCAAGUCGAGCGGUAGCACAGAGAGCUUGCUCUCGGGUGACGAGCGGCGGACGGGUGAGUAAUGUCUGGGAAACUGCCUGAUGGAGGGGGAUAACUACUGGAAACGGUAGCUAAUACCGCAUAAUGUCGCAAGACCAAAGUGGGGGACCUUCGGGCCUCAUGCCAUCAGAUGUGCCCAGAUGGGAUUAGCUAGUAGGUGGGGUAACGGCUCACCUAGGCGACGAUCCCUAGCUGGUCUGAGAGGAUGACCAGCCACACUGGAACUGAGACACGGUCCAGACUCCUACGGGAGGCAGCAGUGGGGAAUAUUGCACAAUGGGCGCAAGCCUGAUGCAGCCAUGCCGCGUGUGUGAAGAAGGCCUUCGGGUUGUAAAGCACUUUCAGCGGGGAGGAAGGCGUUAAGGUUAAUAACCUUGGCGAUUGACGUUACCCGCAGAAGAAGCACCGGCUAACUCCGUGCCAGCAGCCGCGGUAAUACGGAGGGUGCAAGCGUUAAUCGGAAUUACUGGGCGUAAAGCGCACGCAGGCGGUCUGUCAAGUCGGAUGUGAAAUCCCCGGGCUCAACCUGGGAACUGCAUUCGAAACUGGCAGGCUAGAGUCUUGUAGAGGGGGGUAGAAUUCCAGGUGUAGCGGUGAAAUGCGUAGAGAUCUGGAGGAAUACCGGUGGCGAAGGCGGCCCCCUGGACAAAGACUGACGCUCAGGUGCGAAAGCGUGGGGAGCAAACAGGAUUAGAUACCCUGGUAGUCCACGCCGUAAACGAUGUCGAUUUGGAGGUUGUGCCCUUGAGGCGUGGCUUCCGGAGCUAACGCGUUAAAUCGACCGCCUGGGGAGUACGGCCGCAAGGUUAAAACUCAAAUGAAUUGACGGGGGCCCGCACAAGCGGUGGAGCAUGUGGUUUAAUUCGAUGCAACGCGAAGAACCUUACCUGGUCUUGACAUCCACAGAACUUUCCAGAGAUGGAUUGGUGCCUUCGGGAACUGUGAGACAGGUGGCUGCAUGGCUGUCGUCAGCUCGUGUUGUGAAAUGUUGGGUUAAGUCCCGCAACGAGCGCAACCCUUAUCCUUUGUUGCCAGCGGUCCGGCCGGGAACUCAAAGGAGACUGCCAGUGAUAAACUGGAGGAAGGUGGGGAUGACGUCAAGUCAUCAUGGCCCUUACGACCAGGGCUACACACGUGCUACAAUGGCAUAUACAAAGAGAAGCGACCUCGCGAGAGCAAGCGGACCUCAUAAAGUAUGUCGUAGUCCGGAUUGGAGUCUGCAACUCGACUCCAUGAAGUCGGAAUCGCUAGUAAUCGUAGAUCAGAAUGCUACGGUGAAUACGUUCCCGGGCCUUGUACACACCGCCCGUCACACCAUGGGAGUGGGUUGCAAAAGAAGUAGGUAGCUUAACCUUCGGGAGGGCGCUUACCACUUUGUGAUUCAUGACUGGGGUGAAGUCGUAACAAGGUAACCGUAGGGGAACCUGCGGUUGGAUCACCU